This 571-nucleotide ribosomal RNA is filed under the name Rhodococcus sp. CH69. RNAcentral describes it as "bacterial SSU rRNA". It matches the Rfam family "Bacterial small subunit ribosomal RNA", at positions 79 to 665 of the family's 1533-position model. The record is from RNAcentral. Lineage: Bacteria; Bacillati; Actinomycetota; Actinomycetes; Mycobacteriales; Nocardiaceae.
UUCGGGGGUACACGAGCGGCGAACGGGUGAGUAACACGUGGGUGAUCUGCCCUGCACUUCGGGAUAAGCCUGGGAAACUGGGUCUAAUACCGGAUAUGACCAGAGGCUGCAUGGCUUUUGGUGGAAAGGUUUACUGGUGCAGGAUGGGCCCGCGGCCUAUCAGCUUGUUGGUGGGGUAAUGGCCUACCAAGGCGACGACGGGUAGCCGACCUGAGAGGGUGACCGGCCACACUGGGACUGAGACACGGCCCAGACUCCUACGGGAGGCAGCAGUGGGGAAUAUUGCACAAUGGGCGAAAGCCUGAUGCAGCGACGCCGCGUGAGGGAUGACGGCCUUCGGGUUGUAAACCUCUUUCAGCAGGGACGAAGCGAAAGUGACGGUACCUGCAGAAGAAGCACCGGCCAACUACGUGCCAGCAGCCGCGGUAAUACGUAGGGUGCGAGCGUUGUCCGGAAUUACUGGGCGUAAAGAGCUCGUAGGCGGUUUGUCGCGUCGUCUGUGAAAACCAGCAGCUCAACUGCUGGCUUGCAGGCGAUACGGGCAGACUUGAGUACUGCAGGGGAGACUGGA